This 1050-nucleotide ribosomal RNA is filed under the name Akanthomyces attenuatus. RNAcentral's name for it is "SSU rRNA". Lineage: Eukaryota; Fungi; Ascomycota; Sordariomycetes; Hypocreales; Cordycipitaceae. The record is from RNAcentral.
CUAGUAUAAGCAUUAUACAGCGAAACUGCGAAUGGCUCAUUAUAUAAGUUAUCGUUUAUUUGAUAGUACCUUACUACUUGGAUAACCGUGGUAAUUCUAGAGCUAAUACAUGCUAAAAAUCCCGACUUCGGAAGGGAUGUAUUUAUUAGAUUAAAAACCAAUGCCCUCUGGGCUCCUUGGUGAUUCAUAAUAACUUUUCGAAUCGCAUGGCCUUGCGCCGGCGAUGGUUCMUUHAAAUUUCUUCCCUAUCAACUUUCSAUGKUUGGGUAUDGRCCAAACAUGGUCGCAACGGGUAACGGAGGGUUAGGGCUCGACCCCGGAGAAGGAGCCUGAGAAACGGCUACUACAUCCAAGGAAGGCAGCAGGCGCGCAAAUUACCCAAUCCCGAUUCGGGGAGGUAGUGACAAUAAAUACUGAUACAGGGCUCUUUUGGGUCUUGUAAUUGGAAUGAGUACAAUUUAAAUCCCUUAACGAGGWACAAUUGGAGGGCAAGUCUGGUGCCAGCAGCCGCGGUAAUUCCAGCUCCAAUAGCGUAUAUUAAAGUUGUUGUGGUUAAAAAGCUCGUAGUUGAACCUUGGGCCUGGCUGGCCGGUCCSCCUCACCGCGUGUACUGGUCCGGCCGGGCCUUUCCCUCUGUGGAACCUCAUGCCCUUCACUGGGUGUGGCGGGGAAACAGGACUUUUACUUUGAAAAAAUUAGAGUGCUCCAGGCAGGCCUAUGCUCGAAUACAUUAGCAUGGAAUAAUGAAAUAGGACGUGUGGUUCUAUUUUGUUGGUUUCUAGGACCGCCGUAAUGAUUAAUAGGGACAGUCGGGGGCAUCAGUAUUCAAUUGUCAGAGGUGAAAUUCUUGGAUUUAUUGAAGACUAACUACUGCGAAAGCAUUUGCCAAGGAUGUUUUCAUUAAUCAGGAACGAAAGUUAGGGGAUCGAAGACGAUCAGAUACCGUCGUAGUCUUAACCAUAAACUAUGCCGACUAGGGAUCGGACGAUGUUAUUUUUUGACGCGUUCGGCACCYUACGAGAAAUCAAAGUGCUUGGGCUCCAGGGGAGA